This is a long non-coding RNA of Armigeres subalbatus, 2391 nucleotides long. RefSeq lists it as uncharacterized. The transcript has 4 exons. The record is from RefSeq and is a predicted model, not a curated record. Lineage: Eukaryota; Metazoa; Arthropoda; Insecta; Diptera; Culicidae.
AAAACUAGCUACUGAAUCAUAUAUAAUACCGAUCAAUUUUUUUUCGUUUUCCAUUAAAAUAUGCUCAUUUUUAAUAUUCGCCCACCAAUGUUAUUAAGUUUGGUUACGCCUUUUUCAAUGUUAGCCCCACAAGUACUCGAAAAAAAGUAUCGCCCAAUACUUUUCGCCUGUUUUUUGACAUUCUUUAAAUUUCGCCUUCUGCUUUUCGCCAUUGUUUUCAUUUUUAUUCAGUAUCGUCUUUUACUUUACGCCAAGUUUAUGUUUUGAUUUUAAUUAAGCCUUUCACUUUUGAAAUAAUUUCGAUUAUUCUCUUGCACACAAAAAAUAAACAUGGUUUUACAGAAUGUUUUGCACUUUCCAUUUGAAAAGAGCUCUGAUUUCUUAAAAAUGAAAAUUUAUUUGGUCUAAAUCAAAGUGAUUUUUUUCGUUUGAAAGUUUUUUUUCCAUGUUCCCAUUGUAAAACUAAAAGUUCUUCCAUUCAACCUUAAAAUAGUAGAACUGUCAAAUAACUCAAUGAUAAACUAAGCAAAAAGAAAACAAAAAGAAAGACAAAUGAAGAUAAGUUUCCGUUACGCAUCGGCACUAUAGCAUGGUAAAAAUAUAGAUGUGCAUUCUCAACCUAUCACCGUCGAGCUGUCAACGCCUCUCCCCUCACCAGUUCAAACGAUCACAACAGCGGAUACGACAGCAAAACUGUUGCUUUUCAAAAUUAUGCGGGAAAGUGUUUUCGGAUGUUCUUUAAAUUCAAUGCCUCGAAUUCGUGCAGUCCAAAUCAAUAUACAAAUAUCGGAGGACAUAGGAAAUGUAUGGCGCAAUGUUCCCAGACGGCUUCGAUUUCCAACCAAACCCCAGCCAGGGACCGGAUCUCGUUCUGGGGCAAUCACAGUGGCCACCGUGUUGAAAUGCUGCAACCUACAUCAUCUAGAAAAACUGCUUGAAAUCAUGAAAUAAAAAUAAAAGUAUCAUUGCGAUUAGAUUAUUUAAAUUUAUAAUGGAAAGAUGAUUGAAGAGUACGAGGGGGAAUGGGACAGUUUCUUUAAUAACGAAUGAAUAAUUUCGUUUCUGAAUGAAAAUAUUUCGCCCUAUUUUUUACAGUGUGAACAUUUUUAUUUGACAGUUGUACAAUUUAGUUUUGAAUGUUUUAAACUUUUAAUUUCAGAGCGGCAUGCGACUUUUGAAUCAUGUUGAUUACAAAAGUUGGCGUACUUUUAUUUUAAACAUAUCGAACUCUCUACGAAAAAGAACCAACGCAACUUUUUGAAUUUACCAAUGGUUUUUUUAAUUUUAAUAAUGGUUUUUCUUUCUGUGUGUGAGUAAUAUUAUAAGUUUCAAAUGUCCCAAUAAUAUUCAUUGCUAUAAAUAGUGGAAAUAUAUUAUGCGGCAGGUUAUGCAAUCAAGAAAAACUUGUUUGGUUGAUUUCUCAACGAUUAGUUUUCACCGAGGAUUUCACAAACAGGACUGUACAAUGGUACUGUGGACAGGCAGACAGGCUGAGGAAUUGUAAAGAACAUCUCGACGAAUUUAUCGCACCGUAUAAGGGUUUUUCUAUUCCUAACCACUCAGCAAUAAAAAAAUGAGUUGAAUUGAUAAGAAUCAUGUGAGGUGAUUGUAGUGCUCAUAGUGAUAUGGAAUGAAGUAUUAAUGUAGCUAGAGAACGGGUACAGAGUUACUGCCCAAAGUAAUCUAUAUAAGCAGCAAGAUGUAUAAUUGUAUGUAUACCUAUGUUUUAUGCAGUGUCCACAGUUCGAGCUUGUUACGCGUUCUCGAUUACGCCAGUAAUAUCAGUGUGUUACGCCAGUGUGUCAUUACACACUGGUGGUAUAAGUACCAUGGUACAAGAAUCUUGAAAUGAGUACCGUACCGAUUAUUGUCUUUAUCAAAGAUAGUCGUGUAAUAAUUUUCUUGUCCUCUUGUACCAUGGUACAAGUACUCCUUAGCAUAAAAUCGACGUGUAUUAUGUUUAUAUUACGAGCUACAUCACAUAACAGGAUAUACCGAUUUAAAAAGCCAUACAGUGCCUUCGCGUUUAUGGCAAAAGAUGAUUAUCACCAUUUCGAUUUUUUAUUGCAAAUUUUUUUCAAUCGCUUUACAUUCCAACUGGAACUUGGCCUGAUAUUCAACUUCAACUUCAACAAAAAUGAGAAUAACUACUAGAAAUUGAUUUAUUUAGGUGUUUUAGCGCAGUCUCCUUUGUUAGUUAGUUAGCCUUCUGAGCAAAGGAUAGGCGUAGGAUUGACGGAAAAUGGGAGUUUGAUUUUCGGUCCGGCCUAGGAUGUUUCCGGGUGGGAAACAUUCUCGGCUUCAGUUAGAGUAUAGAGCCAUUAAAGAAGAAGAAGAAGAAGGUGUUUUAGCGCAACGGUUAGACAAGGGCAUUUCAGAAUUUAUAGAAUA